This 374-nucleotide unclassified non-coding RNA is filed under the name uncultured bacterium. RNAcentral's name for it is "contains 16S-23S intergenic spacer region". The record is from RNAcentral.
UCCGGUUUGUCACCGGCAGUCUCGCAUGAGUCCCCAACUAAAUGCUGGCAACAUGCGACGGGGGUUGCGCUCGUUGCGGGACUUAACCCAACAUCUCACGACACGAGCUGACGACAGCCAUGCACCACCUGUCACCGCCCCCGAAGGACCUGCCGUCUCCGACAGUUUUGCGGCGAUGUCAAACCCAGGUAAGGUUCUUCGCGUUGCAUCGAAUUAAUCCGCAUGCUCCGCCGCUUGUGCGGGCCCCCGUCAAUUCCUUUGAGUUUCAGCCUUGCGGCCGUACUCCCCAGGCGGGGCACUUACUGCGUUAGCGACGGCACCGGGAGGGUCGCUCCCCCCGACGCCUAGUGCCCAUCGUUUACGGCGUGGACUAC